UACGGAGGGUGCGAGCGUUGUCCGGAAUCACUGGGCGUAAAGGGCGCGUAGAUGGACAGGAAAGUCAGUGGUGAAAUCUUCGAGCUUAACUCGGAAACUGCCAUUGAUACUAUUUGUCUUGAAUACUUUGGAGGUAAGCGGAAUAUGUCAUGUAGCGGUGAAAUGCUUAGAUAUGACAUAGAACACCAAUUGCGAAGGCAGCUUACUACACAGUUAUUGACACUGAGGCACGAAAGCGUGGGGAUCAAACAGG
RNAcentral lists this ribosomal RNA (253 nucleotides) under uncultured bacterium. RNAcentral's name for it is "partial 16S ribosomal RNA". It matches the Rfam family "Bacterial small subunit ribosomal RNA", at positions 524 to 776 of the family's 1533-position model. The record is from RNAcentral.